Molecule: ribosomal RNA, 253 nt
Filed under: uncultured bacterium
Lineage: Bacteria
Also listed under: 1 other name
Description: partial 16S ribosomal RNA
Rfam family: Bacterial small subunit ribosomal RNA
Source: RNAcentral
UACGGAGGAUCCAAGCGUUAUCCGGAUUUAUUGGGUUUAAAGGGUGCGUAGGCGGCUUAUUAAGUCAGGGGUGAAAGACGGUGGCUCAACCAUCGCAGUGCCCUUGAUACUGAUGAGCUUGAAUACACUAGAGGUAGGCGGAAUGUGACAAGUAGCGGUGAAAUGCAUAGAUAUGUCACAGAACACCGAUUGCGAAGGCAGCUUACUAUGGUGUGAUUGACGCUGAGGCACGAAAGCGUGGGGAUCAAACAGG